CCUACGGGUGGCUGCAGUGAGGAAUAUUGGUCAAUGGCCGAAAGGCUGAACCAGCCAAGUCGCGUGAAGGAAGACGGAUCUAUGGUUUGUAAACUUCUUUUAUAGGGGAAUAAAGGUAUGCACGUGUGGAUUUUUGCAUGUACCCUAUGAAUCAGCAUCGGCUAACUCCGUGCCAGCAGCCGCGGUAAUACGGAGGAUGCGAGCGUUAUCCGGAUUUAUUGGUUUUAAAGGGUGCGUAGGUUGUUGUUUAAGUCAGCGGGGAAAGUUUGUGGCUCAACCGUAAAAUUGCCGUUGAAACUGGAAGACUUGAGUGUGUUUGAGGUAGUCGGAAUGCGGGGGUUAGCGGUGAAAUGCAUAGAUAUCACGCAGAACUCCAAUUGCGAAGGCAGCUUACAAAGCCAUAACUGACACUGAAGCACGAAAGCUUGGGGAUCAAACAGGAUUAGAUACCCUGUAGUC
Molecule: ribosomal RNA, 459 nt
Filed under: uncultured bacterium
Lineage: Bacteria
Description: partial 16S ribosomal RNA
Rfam family: Bacterial small subunit ribosomal RNA
Source: RNAcentral